GCCACCGCCUCCCGCGCUUUGCAGACGGCCCCUCAGGCCCUGAUUCCGACACGGCCCGACAGCGCCUCAGGGGGCGACGCGGUGCCCGGGCCUGAGAGCGCCACAGCGGGCCCGGCCCCCGGAAUUACCAAGCAUGGCACUCAGUACAACAGUCAACUGAAGGAAAUGGUCUCCAGCUGUGGGAGUCUCCUGGGAGAAGUCGAUGACUUGGCAGAACUGUCACAUCAGCAAGGACAAUGAAGUCCUUCUGCAUGUCUGCGUCUGUGGCCUCCUUUACUGGCUGAAGUCCCGCGUCAGUACUCCAUAGAAAGCCUUGCCAAGGCAGUCUGCUCAUGAGGGGACACGUCUGCUCAUUUUACUCAAAAUUUUGAAGAAUUUUCACCAGAGCACUGCACAGUCUGAGGACGUUGCUGCAGAACGUUCAUCCGGUUUGCAGCAAACUACAAGAGACUUUGGGUAUAGAUGUCUUGUUUAUCCCAUUGGCCCAGAUCCUCAGAGGCAUGUAGGCUCCUAACUUCCAUUGACUCCAUGCCUGGAUUAUUGUGUCUAGAAGAGGCCCUAAAAGGUCUUUGUGGUGAGGCUGUGCAGGUAGCUGAUGUUUUGUAUUCCUUGCUCAAAACAAGGAUUUAUUAAAAUUUUUAGCAUUGAACAAUCUCGUUGCCUGUUCUUUUAUACUUUUAAUGUAACAACCUGAUGUGGGCUGUUAAGACUGCAAAAGGUUCUCUGGCUGCAUGUUCACGUGUAUUGAAGAUAGCUGACACCUGAUUAGGUGCUGAUUGGUUUCAUAUAGCAGGUGAGUUUAGAAGCCACAAUAAACACUUCUGGGGCUAGAGAUACUCUUAUUAGAUCUCUUACAAGAAAGAAGCAGCUGUCUACACGUGGGCUUAGAAAUAGGAAUCAGGGAAAUGAUCAAUAAGUCAUAUUUUAAAUUUUAUCAUGUAUUUUUCUUAAAGUAUAGUUGCAAGUUUGCUGACUUGGAAGGGGCUUGGUGAAGGAAACUGCUUGGACAAUGAGGAAUCCUGUAUAACAUUUGUGGUGUUCAGAGGCUUAGAAUAAGAAUUAGGAUUGGUUUUGAGUUGGAAAGAACAUAUGUAAAACUUCAGUAAUAUUGUCAGUUGUGUUGCUAUCUAUCUGAAUCACUGGAUCCUGAAAACCUGUUCCCCUAGGGUAGAGACUUUUUGUUUUCCCCCCUUCCCCAGGCCUUGCUGCAAUUGUGUU
This is a long non-coding RNA of Gopherus evgoodei (Goodes thornscrub tortoise), 1218 nucleotides long. RefSeq lists it as uncharacterized. NCBI's taxonomy places the organism in Eukaryota, Metazoa, Chordata, Testudines, Testudinidae. The transcript has 4 exons. The record is from RefSeq and is a predicted model, not a curated record.